RNAcentral lists this ribosomal RNA (793 nucleotides) under uncultured archaeon. RNAcentral describes it as "bacterial SSU rRNA". It matches the Rfam family "Archaeal small subunit ribosomal RNA", at positions 85 to 879 of the family's 1478-position model. The record is from RNAcentral.
ACUGCUCAGUAACACGUGGAUAACCUGCCCUCAGGUCUGGGAUACUCCUGGGAAACUGGGCCUAAUCCCGGAUAAAUCACUGAUGCUGGAAUGCGCAGUGAUUAAAAGCUCCGGCGCCUGAGGAUGGGUCUGCGGCCUAUCAGGGUAGUAGUGGGUGUAACGUACCUACUAGCCGACGACGGGUACGGGUUGUGAGAGCAAGAGCCCGGAGAUGGAUUCUGAGACACGAAUCCAGGCCCUACGGGGUGCAGCAGGCGCGAAAACUUUACAAUGCGGGUCACCGCGAUAAGGGAACCUCGAGUGCCAGCAUACAAUGUUGGCUGUCCAGGUGCCUAAAAAGCAUCUGUUAGCAAGGGCCGGGCAAGACCGGUGCCAGCCGCCGCGGUAACACCGGCGGCUCGAGUGGUAACCGCUAUUAUUGGGUCUAAAGGGUCUGUAGCCGGCCGGAUAAGUCCCUUGGGAAAUCUGGCAGCUUAACUGUCAGGCUUUCAGGGGAUACUGUUCGGCUUGGGACCGGGAGAGGUGAGAGGUACCUCAGGGGUAGGGGUGAAAUCUUGUAAUCCUUGAGGGACCACCAGUGGCGAAGGCGUCUCACCAGAACGGAUCCGACGGCAAGGGACGAAAGCUAGGGGCACGAACCGGAUUAGAUACCCGGGUAGUCCUAGCCGUAAACGAUACUCGCUAGGUGUCAGCCACGGUGCGACCGUGGUUGGUGCCGUAGGGAAGCCGUGAAGCGAGCCACCUGGGAGGUACGGCCGCAAGGCUGAAACUUAAAGGAAUUGGCGGGGAGCAC